UGUGGGAGUCCACUGCAAUAAUCCAGGAGAGAAAUCAUGUGAGCUUGAGAAGGAAUCAGAUUCUGCAUAUAUUUCCAAGUUAACAUGAACAAGAUUUUCUGAAAGACUGCUAUGGAGUCUGAGAAAAAAUGUCAAAGGUAGUGCCAAAAUUGUCACUUAAAGAACUGCAGGAAUGGAGUUGGCAUUUACAGAAUUUGGAAGAGAAGCAGGUUUAGUGAUAAAGACCAGAAGCACAGAGCUAAGCAUAUUAAAUAUUGAGGACAUGAAGAGGAAAGAACUGACAGAGGAGGUGAAGAAAGGUGAUCAGGAAGAGCCAUCAAAGUGUUAUCCUGGAAUUCAAGUGAAGACAGUGUUUCAAAGUGGAAAUGAACAGUGUCCUGUAACCCUCAGAGUGAGACUAGAGUCAGAAUGCAAGCUUUUCUCAUUUGAAAUCUAUAUGCCACAGAGAGGAUCCAGAGAGCUCAUCUCCGGUCAGUUAUCUGUAUUUGCAUGUCAACUACAGCAUCAAAAAGCAUAGGCAUGGAUACUAAGGACCCCCUCUGUACACCAACGCCAGUCCAAAGGAUAGUGUGUCACUGUGAACUGGAAAUUCAUCUCUCUUCUUCAUUUUUUUUCUACCUACUUUAUGCUUUAUCUCUAAGUUGAGGCUGUUUAUGGCCUCAUCCUCAAUUACCUUGUCCCUC
Molecule: long non-coding RNA, 683 nt
Filed under: Pan troglodytes (chimpanzee)
Lineage: Eukaryota; Metazoa; Chordata; Mammalia; Primates; Hominidae
Description: lincRNA
Source: RNAcentral